This 398-nucleotide ribosomal RNA is filed under the name uncultured bacterium. Its description in RNAcentral is "bacterial SSU rRNA". It matches the Rfam family "Bacterial small subunit ribosomal RNA", at positions 32 to 409 of the family's 1533-position model. The record is from RNAcentral.
AAUCAACGCUGGCGGCGUGCCUCAGACAUGCAAGUCGAACGCGAAAUUUCCCUUCGGGGAGAGAGUAGAGUGGCGCACGGGUGAGUAACACGUAGGUAAUUUGCCUUUGGGUGGGGAAUAACUCAGGGAAACUUGAGCUAAUACCGCAUAAUGCAGCGGCUCGACAUCGAGACAGUUGUUAAAGCGGGGGAUCGCAAGACCUCGCGCCUAAAGAGAAGCCUGCGGCAGAUUAGCUAGUUGGUAGGGUAAUGGCCUACCAAGGCAACGAUCUGUAACCGGCCUGAGAGGGCGGUCGGUCACACUGACACUGACAUACGGGUCAGACUCCUACGGGAGGCAGCAGUCGGGAAUUUUGGGCAAUGGGCGAAAGCCUGACCCAGCAACGCCGCGUGAAGGAU